CGGACGGGUGAGUAACGCGUGGGCAACCUGCCCCAUAGAGGGGGACAACAGCUGGAAACGGCUGCUAAUACCGCAUAACAAGGAGAGAGCGCAUGUUCUUUUCUUCAAAGAUUUACCGCUAUGGGAUGGACCCGCGUCUGAUUAGCUGGUUGGUGAGGUAACGGCUCACCAAGGCGACGAUCAGUAGCCGGCUUGAGAGAGUGGACGGCCACAUUGGGACUGAGACACGGCCCAGACUCCUACGGAAGGCAGCAG
Molecule: ribosomal RNA, 255 nt
Filed under: uncultured bacterium
Lineage: Bacteria
Description: partial 16S ribosomal RNA
Rfam family: Bacterial small subunit ribosomal RNA
Source: RNAcentral